CCAACUAUAGAAAUUGACAAUGCGUCACCUAAAAACGCUUGAGCAGUGGGUUUACCUAAAACCAAGGCGGAUAUAUGCAAAUAUUUUUGGUUUGCCAAUUUCAAUGCGCAAUUUCAUGAAAUAAGCCAACUAAAUUAAACGCAGUUUUCGGACAUUAAUUGGGUUUCAAAUGGAAAAUAUUACGCUGAGUCGUAAAUAAGCAAUCUGCUCACACAGAAUUAUAGAUGCCAUCAAGCGACAAAAGCCGCGCCAUUGUGUUGUGCCUAUAGAGUGAAGAGUAUUAUCCAGUGAUCAUUGUAUAAUUAACAACAGCGAUCGCUAAAAAGCCACGACGCCUGGUGAAUAAGUCAGCUAUAUAUAUGUACAUAUACAUAUAUACAAGAGACUGCUCCCAGCUAAAGUUGACUAGCCUACACUCAGAGAAAAUCCAGCACAAGCCUUGAAACUUUAUCAAAGAUAUAUCCCUAGAGAUAAAUUUAAUCUUAUUCCGAGUAUGCAAAUUCUUGUUAAUACAAUGCAUGAACAUUUCUCUCGGUGUAGAUACCCCCUGCAUGUCUGUAGAGCUCUACGUUCUUGCCUUUGAUGCAGUCAGGCAGGCGGCCAGGCAAACAAAGAUCAAAGCUUUGCCUUUGCAUUGGCUGUGACAUCAUUUAACAGUCAUUCCAUAAUCACAAUAAUACUUGAAAGAUAUCUAUGAUCGCGGCAUUAUAAUACAAGUUGUGUAAUUUGUGGCCUGCAAUUCCCUAGAUGAUGAUUGCAAUCAAAAAAGCCUUCCAUGGAAUGCCACAAUGUAAGCAUGUUGCUGGCUAUUUUUGGCAGAUUAUACGGAAAUGUGCUACACUGAAGAUUUAGGUGGAAUCUAUAGCUGAAUAUCGUAUUAUUGGCGCCGAUUUUGAAUGGGCCAUAUUAAUCAGAGAACGGGAGAGCAGCAGCUGGCACGAACAAGCCCCAAAAUUCCGGUUAAACUGCAAACGUGCGAAUACUUUGCUUUUUAAUUGUACGAUUAUGUUUUGUUUAUAUCUUUUAUAAAGAGUUCUAGGUAAAGUUUAUAAAAAAACACACACAAACCCAUACACUAA
Drosophila montana is the source of this 1079-nucleotide long non-coding RNA. RefSeq lists it as uncharacterized. Lineage: Eukaryota; Metazoa; Arthropoda; Insecta; Diptera; Drosophilidae. The transcript is spliced from 3 exons. The record is from RefSeq and is a predicted model, not a curated record.